RNAcentral lists this ribosomal RNA (552 nucleotides) under uncultured bacterium. RNAcentral describes it as "partial 16S ribosomal RNA". It matches the Rfam family "Bacterial small subunit ribosomal RNA", at positions 355 to 921 of the family's 1533-position model. The record is from RNAcentral.
UGGGGAAUAUUGCACAAUGGGCGAAAGCCUGAUGCAGCAACGCCGCGUGAGUGAUGAAGGCCUUCGGGUUGUAAAGCUCUGUCUUUUGGGACGAUAAUGACGGUACCAAAGGAGGAAGCCACGGCUAACUACGUGCCAGCAGCCGCGGUAAUACGUAGGUGGCAAGCGUUGUCCGGAUUUACUGGGCGUAAAGGAUGCGUAGGCGGAUUUUUAAGUGAGAUGUGAAAUACCCGGGCUUAACUUGGGUGCUGCAUUUCAAACUGGGAAUCUAGAGUGCGGGAGAGGAGAAUGGAAUUCCUAGUGUAGCGGUGAAAUGCGUAGAGAUUAGGAAGAACACCAGUGGCGAAGGCGAUUCUCUGGACCGUAACUGACGCUGAGGCAUGAAAGCGUGGGUAGCAAACAGGAUUAGAUACCCUGGUAGUCCACGCCGUAAACGAUGAGUACUAGGUGUAGGAGGUAUCGACCCCUUCUGUGCCGCAGUUAACACAAUCAAGUACUCCGCCUGGGAAGUACGAUCGCAAGAUUAAAAACUCAAAGGAAUUGACGGGGAUC